Molecule: microRNA precursor, 70 nt
Filed under: Chlorocebus sabaeus (green monkey)
Lineage: Eukaryota; Metazoa; Chordata; Mammalia; Primates; Cercopithecidae
Description: miRNA (ENSCSAG00000021863.1)
Source: RNAcentral
GCAACAGCAGCAGCAGCAGCAGCAGCAGCUGCAACAGCAACAGCAACUUCAGCAGCAGCAGCAGCAGCAG